RNAcentral lists this ribosomal RNA (652 nucleotides) under uncultured organism. RNAcentral describes it as "bacterial SSU rRNA". It matches the Rfam family "Bacterial small subunit ribosomal RNA", at positions 1 to 663 of the family's 1533-position model. The record is from RNAcentral.
GGCUUAGAGUUUGAUCAUGGCUCAGGAUAAACGCUGGCGGCGCACAUAAGACAUGCAAGUCGAACGGACUUAACCAUUAGUUUACUAUUGGAGCGGUUAGUGGCGGACUGGUGAGUAACACGUAAGCAACCUGCCUAUCAGAGGGGAACAACAGUUAGAAAUGACUGCUAAUACCGCAUAUGCCAAGAGUAUCGCAUGAUACAAUUGGGAAAGGAGAAAUCCGCUGAUAGAUGGGCUUGCGUCUGAUUAGAUAGUUGGUGUGGUAACGGCAUACCAAGUCGACGAUCAGUAGCCGAACUGAGAGGUUGAACGGCCACAUUGGGACUGAGAUACGGCCCAGACUCCUACGGGAGGCAGCAGUCGGGAAUAUUGCGCAAUGGAGGAAACUCUGACGCAGUGACGCCGCGUGCAGGAAGAAGGUUUUCGGAUUGUAAACUGCUUUAGACAGGGAAGAAAAAAGACAGUACCUGUAGAAUAAGCUCCGGCUAACUACGUGCCAGCAGCCGCGGUAAUACGUAGGGAGCAAGCGUUAUCCGGAUUUAUUGGGUGUAAAGGGUGCGUAGACGGGAAAUUAAGUUAGUUGUGAAAGUUUGCGGCUCAACCGUAAAAUUGCAGUUGAUACUGGAUAUCUUGAGUGCAGUUGAGGCAGGCG